UUGUAUAACUUUCAGCAACGGAUCUCUUGGCUCUCGCAUCGAUGAAGAACACGGCGAAAUGUGAUAAGUAAUGUGAAUUGCAGAAUUCAGUGAAUCAUCGAAUCUUUGAACGCACCUUGCGCUCCUUGGUAUUCUGAGGAGCAUGCCUGUUUGAGUGUCAUGG
RNAcentral lists this ribosomal RNA (163 nucleotides) under Taiwanofungus camphoratus. RNAcentral describes it as "5.8S ribosomal RNA". It matches the Rfam family "5.8S ribosomal RNA". Rfam says of the family: 5.8S ribosomal RNA (5.8S rRNA) is a component of the large subunit of the eukaryotic ribosome. It is transcribed by RNA polymerase I as part of the 45S precursor that also contains 18S and 28S rRNA. Functionally, it is thought that 5.8S rRNA may be involved in ribosome translocation. Lineage: Eukaryota; Fungi; Basidiomycota; Agaricomycetes; Polyporales; Taiwanofungaceae. The record is from RNAcentral.